Molecule: long non-coding RNA, 1072 nt
Organism: Gossypium raimondii (Peruvian cotton)
Lineage: Eukaryota; Viridiplantae; Streptophyta; Magnoliopsida; Malvales; Malvaceae
Exons: 2
Source: RefSeq, a predicted model, not a curated record
CCUUUUCUCCACUUUUACCUUUGCCUUCAAAGUACUAUGCUACAAAAUCAGUACAAUGAAAUUCCCAAAAAGAAUCCAUAAAAUAUAAGCAUUUUAAAGGUGGUUUUUUGUUUAUAUAUAUAUAUAUAUAUAUAUACAUAUCUGUGUGGCCAUCUCUUAUCUCUUCUUAGUGGUUACUCUUACCCAUUUCAAAGAACCCAGCUUCCCCCUCCCCAAUUCCUUUUUAUUUCAAGAUUUGCACAAAGGGCGAAAAGAGGCUCGACAAGCAUUGUUAGAAGUACAAAAUCGACAAGCAAUUUUGAAGCAUCAAGGUGAAUUUAUUUUUUAGCCUAAGACAGUCCAAAUUAUGUGUAUUAAUUCAUAAUAUAAUUAAUUUUAAUUUUAAUCCAAUUUAAUUUGGGUUAAAUAAAUUAUUAUUAAUUAAUUAUGAAAAGUGGCCCAGUUGAGCUGAAUCAAAAAAACCAAUCCAACCAAGCACUGGGCAGCUCAAAACCGUCCCACAUGCUGACCCAAUCAGCUUGUUUGGCUGAUUGUUUGGCUUGCAAAAUGGCCCUUGAAGACUCCUUCAAUUUGCAUUCAAACCCCUCCACUAUUCAUGCCUUUUAAGAUUUGGCCCUACCUAAAAAUAGCAUGUUUGAAAUCUUCAAACAUGCCACAUGUGUGGCUGGCCAUGGGGGAGUCUUUGGCUGCUAAUUUUGGCUAUUUUUAGCAGCCUUAUCGACCUAUAAAUACCCCUUUGGGUGCUCACUUCAAACACAUCUCAAAACCAUUCAUUAUUCACUUUUCUCUCUUCAUUAUUCUUCAUUUUCUUCCCCAUUGCCUUACCGAUUUCACCUCUUGAAAAAGAGUCAUUCAACCACCAUUUGGAGUAGCAUUCAAGUGUUCGUGGAAGCCUCGAUUCAACAAGAACAAGCAUAGAAGAAGGAGCAGAGCAAACUAGUCAAGCCUCAGAGAAACACUGGAUUUGAUUCUUGUUUCUUAUCCUUUUAAUUUAAUUAUUGUUGUUAUGAACAUAUCUAUGAAUAUUUAUGAUGUUGAUAUGUUUAAUUUAAUUAAUAUGGCUUAAAUUUAA